UACGAAGGGUGCAAGCGUUACUCGGAAUUACUGGGCGUAAAGGGCGCGUAGGCGGCACUGUUAGUCAGGCGUGAAAGUCCUGGGCUCAACCUGGGAACUGCGCUUGAUACGGCAGAGCUAGAGGAUGGAAGAGGCUCGCGGAAUUCCCAGUGUAGAGGUGAAAUUCGUAGAUAUUGGGAAGAACACCGGUGGCGAAGGCGGCGAGCUGGUCCAUUACUGACGCUGAGGCGCGACAGCGUGGGGAGCAAACAGG
RNAcentral lists this ribosomal RNA (253 nucleotides) under uncultured bacterium. RNAcentral's name for it is "partial 16S ribosomal RNA". It matches the Rfam family "Bacterial small subunit ribosomal RNA", at positions 524 to 776 of the family's 1533-position model. The record is from RNAcentral.